CGCCUUGCUGGCCAGCCCCUCCAUCAGGUCGGCCCGGAGCUCCACGAGGAAGCGCAGCCCGCCCUCCAGGCGGCCCAGCUGCUGGAAGAGGCCGCGGUACUGCGGGCUCAGGGAAAACUUACUGUCUGCUUCAGCUGCUGCUUGGAAAAUGAAAACACAUCUCUGUCUGUCAGGACCUGAGGGCACCAUGAGAUGUCAGUGGCCCUGCCCACCUCACCUGGGACCUUCUCCAUGGGUUCAGGAGCUCCACUUCAGCUCAGCCUGGGGGUUUGAGACGCUUCUGCACGGAGCUGCAGGAGCCCCUCAUCCCAAAUUCCAGCCCCUCUUCCCUGGAUCUGCCUUGCCACCAUGAAAAUGUUUAUUUCUGAAAACUGAAUGUUAUUAUUAGAAAACUGGAGAUUGAAAGAGCCUAAUUGCACUUCAGUAAUUGUAAAUUUUGUCUCUGAGCAAAAAGAGAAGCUAAUAAAAGAUGGAAAGUCAAGUUGAUCCCAA
This is a non-coding RNA of Lonchura striata (white-rumped munia), 492 nucleotides long. Lineage: Eukaryota; Metazoa; Chordata; Aves; Passeriformes; Estrildidae. The record is from RefSeq and is a predicted model, not a curated record.